This 3027-nucleotide long non-coding RNA is filed under the name Pelobates cultripes (western spadefoot toad). Lineage: Eukaryota; Metazoa; Chordata; Amphibia; Anura; Pelobatidae. The record is from RNAcentral.
CAUCUAGAUCACAUGUUACUUAUGAGGUCUGUGAGUAUUUUCUGUUCCAAAUUGCAUUUUAUUCAAUAAAUGGAGUACUGUGCUAAGGAUCCACCUUGUGGAAAUGAUUUGAAGCUUACUGAUUACAAAGUGCAGUUCUUUUUUGGAAUUGUAGUGAAGAUGGAAUUUGGACCCGUGGACCCGUGGAACCAGCACCUGAAGCCAGCAAUAAAUCUAUCAGUCACAGUAAGUAACCACUGUGUACUUAAUUAUUUUUACUUUUUUUUACUGGAGUUGUGUAAUAACGGCUAUGUGCAAAGGAGAUUUUCUACUUUUCUGUGAGUUUUCUGUUGGGUGUUAUAUGCUAUAGGAAAUUUGCUAAUAUACUGGCAGAAUGCCUGGGUAAUGUACCUUUACCAGUACAGAUGCCAAGCCAGAAGCCAUUUGCGACUGUUUGUUCUAUUUCUGACUCCUGUUUGACUGAAUGCCACAUGAACUUGCUACAUGACCCCAGCUCUGAGUGAAUCCGGGCUGCCUUGAAGUGCAAAUGUACUUUAACCUUGAUUCACACGAUCUGCACCCAAGCUUCAUGCUUUAGUUAUAUAUUUAUCUCACUACUGCCUGAUAAGCAAGGAGCACCAGCACCCUUUGAGAUUCUGGAUCAGCAUAGAUUAUCCAUAAAUAAUCUUUUUUUCAGUUUAAAUGUAUUUAUUUUCAUCAACAUUUGUAGAUAUGGAAGAAUUUGGGGCAAUCGUCUAAUUUGUUUACGAUUCAAAUUCCAUGCUGUUUUAUGACAGUACCACAAAGCAAACAAAAGAGCCAAUGGGUGUGCCAUUUUGUUUGUUUGGUGAUAUAGAGUUAACUAUUUUCCGUCUGGUUGAAAUAGUUAGAAAACAGCCCAUGAGUAGUACAAAGGAAAUUUUAUAUCUCCACCAUGCCAUGGGCAUCAGGUGGGAGCUUCAAUGUAAAGAACACAAUUGGGCUAUCAAAAAAAAUUAAAGCAUGGAAUCCACCCCAGUGCCCACACAGUAGGGCUCUAACUAAAUGAAAAAUGUGAGGGGGACACAGUGUCAACAAGUGGGAGCUAUAAUUAGAAUGAGUGAGGUGGACCACACAGUGCUGAUGCAUGGGAAGGAGGACCUAAUGUCCCCCAGACUCCACCCAUGGAAUGUGGCUGAUGGUCUGAGCUUAUCAGGCAGGUGUGCGGUGAAUAUACUCCACCCAUGGGUGGCUGGUCUAAUGAAACAUGCUGGGCAUGUUCGUGCCAUUGUCCACCCUAAAAAAAUGUUGUCCAAAUGUUGUGGCUAGUGGUCCCCAGACCCAUAUUAACACUCCAGUUUUUUAUUUAUUUUUUAAACUGUCUACCUCCUCACCAUAAUAAAAUUGAGGGGGGAGGGGCAAUAUUCUUAUACAUGUAAAAUAAAAAAAUAUAUAUACUUAUCAUUAAAUAUCUUCUUUCUUCAGUCGAAAAACAGGCAAAAUAAAAACUCAUAAUGCCACUAUUAAAAGAAAAUGAAUCACAAAAAAUACAAAUGAAAAAACAUGCAACACCUAGAAAAAAAUAUUCAUUCAUGUUGGCCCAAUGAGGUCUCUGUCUAGGCUUUGUCACAGGUGGCGAUCCGGUGCCCGGGACCCAGACGCUGUCCGGGCGGCGGUGCGAGGACUGGGACCCAGUAUGCCUGAUAAUAAGUGGGAGUCUUCAGCGUGGAAGUGGAUUAUCAGGGCCUGGUGCAGGGUAACCACAUGUCCUCUGGUGUUGAGCACCAGCGUUUGCGCGGCCAAAUACUAGAACCCUGAUGCAGCUACAGCGGAUCCCAGGAACUAGGAGCUUGAUAUGCAGACCUCCCAGGAACUGGAUAGGGGGGCUCUGCAGCAGACAUGUAUCCAGUACAGAAAAAAGGCAAGGCUAGGAUAGUCACCAAACAUGACAACAAGACAGAACUAAUAGAACCCAGAUUCAGAGCAGGACAGAAAGCAGAACCCAGAACAUGUACACAAGACAUGAGGAAAACAAGAACAGGGCAGGACAGGACUGUACAUGAACUGGGAUUACAAAAUAAAACAAGACAAGAUAUAAUAGGCAAAACAAGAGGAGACAUAACUAAGCACUAUAUAUGACAAGUAUGGGCAUUUAGUUACAUUAUAUGAUCAUACAUUGCAUAAGCCUGCCACAACGCCAAUGUACCCCAUAUUCGGCAGGUCCUACACUGCCUAAUGUAAUAAUUAGAGCCCUUAACUGCUGACCACAGGUAGAGGACCUCAACAGGAGAUAUGCAAUAGUUCUGUUUCUCCUCUUGAUUUGCAAUGUUUGUCCUGGCUUUGUCUUGUCCGGUCUGAACUAGAUAAUCAUUACAUUUGCUAAAUCUUUAAUAUAAACUUAAAAUAAAAUGGAACAUCUCGUGAAAAACAAGUAACAAGUAAUUGUCAGGGUUUUAUUCAGUGGUGUAAAUUCCAGAGCAAUGACAUUUCCACGCUAAGGGAAAUCAGUUGAUUAUUCAAGGAGAAAUUGUCUAGAGUAAAUCAUUGAUUUUGCGAUUGCAAGAAUUCUGCAUUCUAUAAUACAGGCGUCACAUUUACAUUUCUGUCCAUCAGUAUAAAGAAAUUGUCAACGUUACAGAAAAUGAUGUGAAUCUGGCAAUCCUAAACUAUACAUACUCUAAUGCAAAAUAAUUUACGUUACUGGCACCCAAUUUACCAAGAUUGGGGCACACACUCCAAAAAUACCCCUAGCAAUAUAUACAAAGAAAAAAAUCUAAGAUAAUAUCGCACUCUCACUUGAAUGUUUUGAAUGAUGCUUAUACAGGGCCUUUGAUGGAGGAGAUGUUCCUGAGCACGCAAGCCGGGUGGAUGCUGUCCCAUUGCACCCCCACAUCAAGAUGAUAUCCCAGACCCACAUCAGGAUAGAGAGCCACAGAAGGAAGCCAUAAGAAUAACAACCUGAAUAUUCCACAGGAUAACCACUAUUAUCACCAAACUGGAACAGUGGACAUUGAGAUUUACUUCAUUGGUGAAUUUUUUCAGUUUUUUUAUUUAUGUAUUCUUUAUAUG